Long non-coding RNA from Mus pahari (shrew mouse), 1046 nucleotides. RefSeq lists it as uncharacterized. The transcript has 3 exons. Lineage: Eukaryota; Metazoa; Chordata; Mammalia; Rodentia; Muridae. The record is from RefSeq and is a predicted model, not a curated record.
AGUAAUAUUUGUGAAGGAUCAAGGGGGUCAGAAAAAGUCUCCAGACAGACAAGCUGGUGUGACACCUGCCAAGGGUGGAAGGCAGAGAGCAGAAAUGGGUGUGGCAGCUCCCUGUUGCCAGGAGGAUUCUGUGAAGUGACUCAUGGUCAGCCCAGAAGGCAGUUGCCGAGCACAGAUUCCCAGUCUGAACAGUCCUGAAGGCUCAGAAAUGUCACUCGGGCUCAGUCACUGCAGGACGGCUUGGGACGUUGCUGCAAGGAACCACAGAGUCCCCAGUCUGUCUCAUGACUGUGUUCCUUGUGACAGAACAGCAAGCUCUUUCCUGAAGGGAGAGUGGAACAGCACAGUCCACAAAGGUGGCAUGGGCUUGUUGGAGGAUGCAGUCCAUCAUGGCGGGGAAGGCAGCUGGCCACACUGCAGCCACAGUCAGGAAGCAGAGAGAGAUGAACUCUGUGCCAGCUCACUCUCCUCAUUCCACGCAGUCUGGGGCCUUAGCCCACGAAACGCUUCUGUCUAGACUUAAGGCCAUCAACCUAUGUGGGAGUUUCUUCAAGGUCAGUCAUAAUACUUGGCACUUCUCUUCUUCUGCUUUUUUGGAAAGCUCGAGUCAGUGCCCUAUCCCUGCGUCUCCUCUUCCACAUCCACCUCCACCAUCACGUGGCUCAUUCCCACCUUCCUUACAUUACGGCCAGUAGAUUCUCUAGAAGAGAGAACAGAGUCUAGAGCGGUCAUGUAAGUAAGGCCGGUCGGCAUGACCUUGACCCAGUGACAAGAAUCUAGAUGAGAACAAAGACACCUUGAAGGACGCUACUGUUGACAUGGGAAUGUUGACUCUACCUCGUGGAAGCCCUGUAAACAAGCAUGAAUCCCCCGGGGUAAAACUAUGUGUUUAUGUUGUCACUCAAAACCUCGAUGAAUGGAGGCACUAACUUCCAUCCUUAAUACCACACAGAACAACAAAAUGAAAUGAAAAACCUCUAAUGUGUAGGUGGAGACAAGGUUUCUUCUGUCACCCACGAGAGUAGAGGCUCUAUAUAGAAAUUAAA